Long non-coding RNA from Bactrocera dorsalis (oriental fruit fly), 661 nucleotides. RefSeq lists it as uncharacterized. The transcript is spliced from 3 exons. NCBI's taxonomy places the organism in Eukaryota, Metazoa, Arthropoda, Insecta, Diptera, Tephritidae. The record is from RefSeq and is a predicted model, not a curated record.
UGAGCAGAAAGUGUUGACGGAAAGGGUUCUUCACCAAGAGGUAACCAACAAUAAUGUACGUGCAGUUUUCCCCAUAAAAAGUGUCAACGACUUACACGACUUCAACACUAUUAUUAGUGAGGACAAUCGUGACCUCUACGUUAACAGGAUGAAGGCUUUGUUAAAAGGACGCCUGGCGAAAACAUUGACAGAUGUUAUUUCCCAAAGUGUGUGCAUAGAAGUCAAUUUGGAUGGAGUCCACGGCAAGAAGCGUUUGAAAGAUUUCAAAGCUUUUUACCAAACUUUAAUGGAUGCUUGUCGUUCGCUUGGUUUUGAAGACAACGAAAAGGAGAUAAGGAAUGCCUUAAAAAUCAUUAAAAAACGUCAUUUCCAUGCAGAAUGUUUAAAAAAUAAGAAGAAUAAAACACAAAAUUAAUAAUUUAUUUUUCGGCCUUUUUUUAACUUGUGUAGCUAAUUUAAAAAAGUCAACUGAUAGCUUACUACUAAAUAACUAAUUUUAACUAACUACUAAGUAACCUACUUGUAGUUAACUUAAAUAAAUACUAAUAGCUAAUAUAUAGCCAACUACUAAGUAGCUAACUUUAAGUUAGUUGAAAAGUCAUGCAGAGUCGGAUAAUUGACUACUGCCUAGGACAUGGCAAUGUUAAAAUAGUCAGUUGGC